This 291-nucleotide ribosomal RNA is filed under the name uncultured Ralstonia sp. RNAcentral describes it as "partial 16S ribosomal RNA". It matches the Rfam family "Bacterial small subunit ribosomal RNA", at positions 70 to 362 of the family's 1533-position model. Lineage: Bacteria; Pseudomonadati; Pseudomonadota; Betaproteobacteria; Burkholderiales; Burkholderiaceae. The record is from RNAcentral.
AAGGGGGUAGCUUGCUACCUGCCGGCGAGUGGCGAACGGGUGAGUAAUACAUCGGAACGUGCCCUGUAGUGGGGGAUAACUAGUCGAAAGACUAGCUAAUACCGCAUACGACCUGAGGGUGAAAGUGGGGGACCGCAAGGCCUCAUGCUAUAGGAGCGGCCGAUGUCUGAUUAGCUAGUUGGUGGGGUAAAGGCCCACCAAGGCGACGAUCAGUAGCUGGUCUGAGAGGACGAUCAGCCACACUGGGACUGAGACACGGCCCAGACUCCUACGGGAGGCAGCAGUGGGAAU